Molecule: non-coding RNA, 25 nt
Filed under: Rattus norvegicus (Norway rat)
Lineage: Eukaryota; Metazoa; Chordata; Mammalia; Rodentia; Muridae
Source: RNAcentral
UCUCAAAGGUCUGAUGGUACCGUCC